UUGAGCAGGGAGGGAGACAGGGGAGGGA
RNAcentral lists this non-coding RNA (28 nucleotides) under Homo sapiens (human). Lineage: Eukaryota; Metazoa; Chordata; Mammalia; Primates; Hominidae. The record is from RNAcentral.